RNAcentral lists this ribosomal RNA (232 nucleotides) under uncultured bacterium. Its description in RNAcentral is "partial 16S ribosomal RNA". It matches the Rfam family "Bacterial small subunit ribosomal RNA", at positions 104 to 334 of the family's 1533-position model. The record is from RNAcentral.
CGGGGUGAGUAACGCGUGGAUAACCUGCCUCACACUGGGGGAUAACAGUUAGAAAUGACUGCUAAUACCGCAUAAGCGCACAGUACCGCAUGGUACAGUGUGAAAAACUCCGGUGGUGUGAGAUGGAUCCGCGUCUGAUUAGCCAGUUGGCGGGGUAACGGCCCACCAAGGCGACGAUCAGUAGCCGACCUGAGAGGGUGACCGGCCACAUUGGGACUGAGACACGGCCCAA